AGAAAAUUUUGCAGGUUUUGGUUAUUAUCUUUAAUAUUAUCUUAGAUAGAGAUAAACUGUAAACAGCAAUUAUGUAUAGCAAAGUAAGAUCUUCAAAUAAGUCAACUUAACCAAAACGGUCAAUUGACCCCUUAAGGAGUUAUUGCUCUUUAUAGUAAAUUUUAAACAAUUUUCAUAAUUUAUGUAAAUUUUUGUAAACUU
Molecule: long non-coding RNA, 201 nt
Filed under: Mytilus galloprovincialis (Mediterranean mussel)
Lineage: Eukaryota; Metazoa; Mollusca; Bivalvia; Mytilida; Mytilidae
Source: RNAcentral